Molecule: ribosomal RNA, 776 nt
Filed under: uncultured Neocallimastigales
Lineage: Eukaryota; Fungi; Neocallimastigomycota; Neocallimastigomycetes; Neocallimastigales
Description: partial large subunit ribosomal RNA
Rfam family: Eukaryotic large subunit ribosomal RNA
Source: RNAcentral
AUAUCAGUCAUGCAUAGCAUAUCAAUAAGCGGAGGAAAAGAAACUAACAAGGAUUCCCUUAGUAACGGCGAGUGAAGCGGGAAGAGCUCAAAUUUGAAAUCUUCAAGGUUUUACCUUGACGAAUUGUAGUUUAAAGAAGUGUUUUCUGUUGAAGUUUUGGUAAAAGUUCUUUGGAAUAGGACAUCGAUAGAGGGUGAGAAUCCCGUAUUUGACCAUUACUUUCAGCUUUGUGAUACACUUUCAAAGAGUCGGAUUGUUUGGGAAUGCAGUCCAAAAUGGGUGGUAAAUUUCAUCUAAAGCUAAAUAUUGGCGAGAGACCGAUAGCGAACAAGUACCGUGAGGGAAAGAUGAAAAGAACUUUGAAAAGAGAGUUAAACAGUACGUGAAAUUGUCAAAAGGGAAGCGUUUGACACCAGUGUUGUUUUCUCGAAAAUCAAUUAAAAAGAGUUGGAUUUUGUGCUGUACUGACUUUAUCAGGCUUUCUUCACUCUUUUCCAGCUUUUUUUAAUGCACUUUUCGUUUAACAAGUCAACAUCAGUUUCUUUUGUUGUAAAAAGGUCAUUGGAAGGUGGCUUUCUCUUCGGAGAAAGUGUUUAUAGCCUUUGACUCAUGCAAUCGGAGAGACUGAGGUCUGCAGCGUAGAUCCUUCGGGGUUAGAUACAUUUGUGCUAAGUUAUAGCUUUUCAUAGACAACUUGUUGACUAUGUUUAGUCUUGUAGCUUACUCGCUUAUGCUAUUUUACCUACGCUUAGGAUGUUGAACUCUAUCACACACAG